RNAcentral lists this long non-coding RNA (437 nucleotides) under Rattus norvegicus (Norway rat). RNAcentral describes it as "long non-coding RNA NONRATT014791". Lineage: Eukaryota; Metazoa; Chordata; Mammalia; Rodentia; Muridae. The record is from RNAcentral.
CUUCACCCUCACCCCCACCUUCACCAUCCUCCUCACCACGUGAGGAUGGAUAAAGUCGCCACAGAUCCUCAGUAUUGAUGACAGCCAUGUUCCGGCCUUGCCUGACUUGCUUGACCCACCCUGGUCGCACCAGACCUGCUCUCUGCCGAGCUACAAUGUCGAUACAGUUACAGAAUGAAUUGCAGGCCCUGCUCUUCUGCUGCUACAUCCCGGUGUCAUCCAUAAGAAACAGUGACAAGAACUCUCUCCCUGCUGCUCACCGUCACUGUCCCAGACAGCAAAGAGUAACUGACUCAGGAAAACAGGCUCGUGGAUGCCCUCGGGGACCUGCCCGCUGAGGAUCUCUUAGUCACCGGCAGGCAGCCAAGGAGGAGCCCUUUGUGGUCUUGGCUUUUCACUCAAGGUUUGUGGCCAAGUCUAGAAAGGCAGCUUUCACC